AACAAAAGGAAAAAAAAAAGAAACACGGUUAAAGGGUAUCUUGUUAAUCUAAUAACAUUUUUUUUCUCGUCUUCUCAGCCGUUGCUCUUCGCUCCAUCCAUGGCGAAUUAGGGUUCCAAGUUCUUCAUUCGUGUCUUGUCAAUCCUUUCCUCUCUUUGUAGCUGAAUCCAUGUUUCUCCUGUGUGACGACAGGAAGAUUAUGUUGUUAUUCUGCUUUAUGAUAUGUAGAAAAUCAGACGACCCCGUGUCAGACAGGCUGAUUCGCGUGAUGCAUCAUGUCUAUUCGAAGCAUAUCAAACCGAAGAAUGGAGGAGUGUUUCGUGACGGCGGCACGUCGGUCCAUUGCCGGCGGAGGAGGGGAAGCGAUAACGACCCUUCCUAUGGAUCCAACUUCUUCUUCUUCUUCUUCACCUCUUAGAUGGAGAAUCCUUCGCCAAGCUCUUAUCAUUAGAUCUGGUGAAUGAUUUCUCAUAGCUAACGAAUCAAUUAUCUCUCAAAAAUUUUCACUCAGAUUCUCAAUCUGAAGCUGAGAUCAAGCGGGUUUCAAGGAAAGCAACUCAAGGAUUCAACUUGAUUCCUUGUCAGGUGGUUGUUUCUUCUUCGGAAGAUUCUCGGGAAGCAUGAGUUUGCUACACAAUUCCCAUUCCUCCUUUUCCCAAACUCUAUCUAACCAGACAAAGAGUGGAUAAUUGCAGUGAUCUCAAUGACUGAGAUAUCUAAUCGACACAACAUCGAUAAUACUGGACUUUUCUAUUUUAAUAACGAUUUGGCAUCAUCAUCAAAUCAACACACAUUCAGUUGCUUUGAGGUCUCAAAUGCUAUAUGACAUCAUUGACUUAAGUUACUGUCACUCUUCUUGGUCAGUGGCCUUCGGAAGAAGUUCUAGCUUACCUCUGCUUGUCUCAGCCAGAUUGCUUCAGAGGUAAAAGAGUCAUUGAGCUUGGAUCCGGGUAUGGUUUAGCCGGUUUAGUUAUUGCUGCUGCCACCGAAGCAUCAGAAGUGGUGGUCUCAGAUGAAAACCCCCAAGUAGUCAAUUGUUUGUGGACUGUUCCUUGUCUUCUUGGAUUCAUAGUUGUACUUAACAAUCCAUAUAUUAAACGUAACAUAGAGUCCAUCUCCAUGGCAUUUAACAACACAAGCGUAAAAGCCAUGGAGUUGCACUGGAACCAGCAUCAACUUUCAGAGCUGACCAACAGUUUUUACGUCAUAGUUGCGAACGAUUGGAAAUAUCUCUUUGACAAACCAACGGACGAUUUAUGGACUCUGAAAUUAAAGAGGCUUGGGAUUCUACAUGACACAAAGAAAGAGCAGAAGCAAACUCGUUCGUUCGUUCUAUCAGUCAUUUUGAUAUAUGCAACUGAACUUGGAUCAGAGCACUAGUUAUUAACUUUUGAAGUUUGUUUUCUUUGUUAUUUAGUUUCACCGGCUUAGUGGUGUUUAAUUUUGUUGUCACAACGCUAACUCCCUCCAAGGGCUUUUGUUCCAGACUGAUGUUAAUUUAUUAAUCUAUACUAUUAUUUAUGAAGUGA
Long non-coding RNA from Brassica napus (rape), 1529 nucleotides. RefSeq lists it as uncharacterized. The record is from RefSeq and is a predicted model, not a curated record. NCBI's taxonomy places the organism in Eukaryota, Viridiplantae, Streptophyta, Magnoliopsida, Brassicales, Brassicaceae. The transcript is spliced from 4 exons.